RNAcentral lists this ribosomal RNA (440 nucleotides) under uncultured Dongia sp. RNAcentral's name for it is "partial 16S ribosomal RNA". Lineage: Bacteria; Pseudomonadati; Pseudomonadota; Alphaproteobacteria; Rhodospirillales; Dongiaceae. The record is from RNAcentral.
GACUACAAGGGUAUCUAAGCCUGUUUGCUCCCCACGCUUUCGCGCCUCAGCGUCAAUGUCGGUCCAGUUGGCCGCCUUCGCCACGGGUGUUCUUCCCAAUCUCUACGAAUUUCACCUCUACACUGGGAAUUCCACCAACCUCUCCCGAAUUCAAGCCAGUUAGUAUCAAGCGCAAUUCCCGGGUUGAGCCCAGGGCUUUCACACCUGACUUGACUGACCGCCUACGCGCCCUUUACGCCCAGUAAUUCCGAACAACGCUAGCUCCCUUCGUAUUACCGCGGCUGCUGGCACGAAGUUAGCCGGAGCUUAUUCUGUGGGUACCGUCAUCAUCGUCCCCACCAAAAGAGCUUUACAACCCGAAGGCCUUCAUCACUCACGCGGCAUGGCUGGAUCAGGGUUGCCCCCAUUGUCCAAUAUUCCCCACUGCAGCCCCCCGUAGG